RNAcentral lists this long non-coding RNA (789 nucleotides) under Homo sapiens (human). RNAcentral describes it as "non-protein coding lnc-GALNT9-2:1". Lineage: Eukaryota; Metazoa; Chordata; Mammalia; Primates; Hominidae. The record is from RNAcentral.
UCUGGUGGGCAGAGGUGGCUACCGGCCUAGCGACCUCUGUGUUUCUGCCCCAACAGGCAGUGGGAAGACACUGGCCUUCGUCAUCCCUGUGGUGCAGGCCCUGCUUUCGAGAGUGGUCUGCCACAUCCGUGCCCUGGUUGUGCUGCCCACCAAGGAGCUGGCCCAGCAGGUGAGCAAAGUUUUCAACAUCUACACAGAUGCCACACCUCUGAGAGUCUCCCUGGUUACGGGACAGAAGUCUCUGGCCAAGGAGCAGGAGAGCCUCGUCCAGAAAACGUAGGUUGUGUCAGGGUGCGGGUUUUUCAGGGGGUCCCUGCUCAGCCCUGCAGGUGGCCUGAGGCACCGUGGGAGCAGAGGAGGGGCCACCAUCUUUAACCACCUGUUCCCGUGAAGAGGAGGAGCUCCCACCGGCCCCCUUCCCAUGUGGGGUGGAGUCGGGGCUGUGGGGUGAGGCAGCGUCUUGCUAUCCGGAAGCCCUUGAGAAAGCUUCCUUCUCUCGAGCUGCUCUCUGGUCUGUAGAGCUGAUGGGUACCGCUGCUUGGCUGACAUCGUGGUAGCCACCCCCGGCCGCCUGGUGGACCACAUCGACCAGACCCCAGGAUUCAGCCUCCAGCAGCUCCGCUUCCUGAUUAUCGACGAGGCUGACCGGAUGAUUGACAGCAUGCAUCAGUCCUGGCUGCCGCGGGUGGUGGCGGCCGCCUUCCAGAGCGAGGACCCCGCGGACCCCUGUGCCCUGCUCCAGCGAAGGCAGGCCCAGGCUGUGACAGCCGCCAGCACCUGCUGUCCCCA